CCUACGGGUGGCAGCAGUGAGGAAUAUUGGUCAAUGGGCGUAAGCCUGAACCAGCCAAGUCGCGUGAGGGAUGAAGGUUCUAUGGAUCGUAAACCUCUUUUAUAAGGGAAUAAAGCGUGGGACGCGUCCCCUGUUGUAUGUACCUUAUGAAUAAGGAUCGGCUAACUCCGUGCCAGCAGCCGCGGUAAUACGGAGGAUCCGAGCGUUAUCCGGAUUUAUUGGGUUUAAAGGGGGCGUAGGCGGGAUUUUAAGUCAGUGGUGAAAGUUUGUGGCUCAACCCUAGAAUUGCAGUUGAAACUGGGAGUAUUGAGUAUGUUAGAGGUAGGCGGAAUGCGUGGUGUAGCGGUGAAAUGCUUAGAUAUCACGAAGAACUCCGAUUGCGAAGGCAGCCUGCCGGCC
RNAcentral lists this ribosomal RNA (399 nucleotides) under uncultured bacterium. RNAcentral describes it as "partial 16S ribosomal RNA". It matches the Rfam family "Bacterial small subunit ribosomal RNA", at positions 338 to 734 of the family's 1533-position model. The record is from RNAcentral.